Molecule: non-coding RNA, 90 nt
Filed under: Pseudomonas mandelii
Lineage: Bacteria; Pseudomonadati; Pseudomonadota; Gammaproteobacteria; Pseudomonadales; Pseudomonadaceae
Also listed under: 2 other names
Source: RNAcentral
UGUGGGAGCGAGCCUGCUCGCGAUGGCGGUGUGACAUUCAGCAUUGAUGUUGACUGACACACAGCCAUCGCGAGCAGGCUCGCUCCCACA